Molecule: ribosomal RNA, 401 nt
Filed under: uncultured eukaryote
Lineage: Eukaryota
Description: SSU rRNA
Rfam family: Eukaryotic small subunit ribosomal RNA
Source: RNAcentral
AGCUCCAAUAGCGUAUAUUAAAGUUGUUGCGGUUAAAAAGCUCGUAGUUGGUUUUCUGUGGAGCACUUUUGGUCCGUUUUAUGAACGUGUAUUAAAAUAAAUGCUUAACAUCUUCUUAGAACUGCGUUUUUGUGCUUGAAUGCAUAGCAGCGUACUCUAAGACUUUUACAUUGAGGAAAUUAGAGUGUUCUCGGCAAGCAUACGUUACGUAUAUGUUAGCAUGGAAUAAUGGAUAGUGACUUUAGUUCUAUUUGAUUGGUUUAAGGAAUGAAGGUAAUGAUUAACAGGGACAGUUGGGGGCAUUUGUAUUAACGCGUCAGAGGUGGAAUUCUUGGAUUGUCUUACGACGAACUACUGCGAAAGCAUUUGCCAAGGAUGUUUUCAUUGAUCAAGACGAAAGU